UGCCACUUCUGAUCCCGUCG
Molecule: unclassified non-coding RNA, 20 nt
Filed under: Mus musculus (house mouse)
Lineage: Eukaryota; Metazoa; Chordata; Mammalia; Rodentia; Muridae
Description: oocyte_clustered_small_RNA13075
Source: RNAcentral